This is a long non-coding RNA of Salvia hispanica, 559 nucleotides long. RefSeq lists it as uncharacterized. The record is from RefSeq and is a predicted model, not a curated record. NCBI's taxonomy places the organism in Eukaryota, Viridiplantae, Streptophyta, Magnoliopsida, Lamiales, Lamiaceae.
AUACAUCCUCAUCCUCAUCACCAUCAAUCUCUCUCUCUCUCUCUCUCUCUCACACACACACACACACACACAUACCAGAAAGAGAAAAUGGUGAGCAUUGUCGCAAACAUGAAGAAAGGAAUAAGUAAUCUUGUUGACAUUGUAUCUUGUGGAAGCAGAGGAACUAAGGAAAGUGAUGUUGAAGUACCAAAGAUGAAAGUUGAGACUAAAUUAGCUACGACGACAGCAAGAGGUCCAGACAAUGAGAAAUCCAAUGGUCCUGGUGUUGAAUCGACUUAGAAGAUGACACAAUAUAUUGUCACUAUUUAUUGUAUUACUCCUACUUUGCAUCUUCUUGAUUGUUUCAAUUGUUUAUGUAUCUUUUAUUAUGUAGUAUUGCCAAAUUUGGGUGGUACUUAAUUAGUUUGGAAUGGAAGUAUUGUUCAAGCUUUAAAUAAUUAGAGGAUUUGAACCUCAAUUACAAAAAUAAAUGUAAUAGUACUACUACUUUUUAGACAUCAUGAAAUUAAAGUAGUAGUAGUACUUUUUUUCCUAAGUCAAUAUUGAAGAUUUUUGUUUC